AUUUAUUUACAAUCCAAGGCAGCAGAGCCAUCAAAUUCACAUGUAACUAUAGUGUCCCCUUUCCAGUGUUAACAGUUUCCAGAAGCUGACAUUUCAUUUGUGCGUAUGUAUGUGUAUUUUACUCAAGUUGGGUUCUCCCACAAAAACAGGGAAGAGCUAUUUACAGGUGAGACUAGUCUGCUUCCUUAUGCCCUGAGGGUUUGGUGAGGGAGGAGCUCAGGUUUAAAUCUUCAACGUCAGCCUAACUGCCUCUCGCUGCAGGAUUUCUCUGAGCUCCUUGUGGAGAGAGGAAGUUCCUGGGACCUCUGUUCUGAGAGCAAACACUCACGAUGGGGAGGAACUCAGAACCACUUUGUAAAGAAGUAUGACAACAGGAGCAGAGACAUGGAUAUGCAUGGUGAUGUUGGGAGAAGAGUGCAUCUCACUGGGGACUGAAGAUCUGUGAUGGAGAUCUAGCCCAGACUGCAGUAGAGAUGGGCAUGAAUCAGAAAAAUGGAAAGAGCUGAAGACUUCAGGACCCUUCGAGCAAAAUUCCAAAAUGAAUCCAGCAAGCCCUCAGGAGAAAUCAGCCUACGGCAACAUCUUGGUGCCAGUUCAACACCUUCUCCUGAACCCAAGACUGUGCAUCGAGUACAACCUCCAGAAAUCAUCCCACGGCAAGGUCCCACUUCUAAGGCUGCCCCUUGUGCCAAGCCCAGGUCCUCACACCUGUCACAAGUCCCAGAUCAUGAGCAAAAGCCUGCAUAUAUCAGCUUAGCAGCAGCUGAAUCACAACUCAGUGGCACAUCCCAGAAAUCUGAGACAACACCUAUCAAACCUAUGGUCCUGCCCAGAGUCAAACUUUGUGAGUUGUCUGAAAUAAGGAAAAAGAAUGAAAAGAAAGCUACGGAGUCUCCAGAAACUCCGUGGAAAGCAUCUGUGCCUGUGGCCCAUCCUCAAAAACAACGUCCAGUGUCCUGUGGCUACUCUCAAGAAGCCGGGUUAGCAGAUCAUUCUUUCCACAGCACUCUGCGCAUUUGGGAAAGUGCUGCAGCAUUUCAGGGAGACCAGAUGUCUUCCACAUUGCCACCCCAACGCCCAAAACGGACAACAUCUCUUGCACAGCUAAGCACUAGCAAUAAUAAUUCUGUCACUGUGGAGGAGAAAGCUGAAAUGUGUGAAAAUGUCCAAGCCUUGACACUUGCUGCACCACAGAAGCCUUCUCAAGGGGACCUGACUCCUUUUCCCGCGGUGUCACCACCUCUUCCACCGAGGGGCCAAACAGGUUCAGAGAAUUUGACACCUGGAGGUCUUAAAAUUAUAAAUUCUUCCCCCAGUACUAAUAAGAUGGGCAGACCAAGCAAGACUCUGCAGUCUUUAACUGAAAGGCAAAAUGAUGCUGAAGAACUCAAGCUUCCAAAAACUAAGCCACUUCCGUCCAUUGUAUCACUUGGUCCUCCACCAAAGAAACCAGCAAGGCCUCCCAAGGUAGAUCUUAGUCCUUUCUGUCGGAACCUUCCAGAUGCUACAGAUGAUGCAUAUAUCACUCCUGAAAUAACGGAUGACUUGAACAUGUAUGAAGAAUCAAUGUCUUACCUGACCCAGCCAGAGAGUUCCAUUAAUUCUGAUCAGGAACUUGCACACCAAAUCAUAUUUCCUUACUACCACACCUAG
Molecule: long non-coding RNA, 1653 nt
Organism: Pogona vitticeps (central bearded dragon)
Lineage: Eukaryota; Metazoa; Chordata; Lepidosauria; Squamata; Agamidae
Source: Ensembl